This 443-nucleotide ribosomal RNA is filed under the name uncultured bacterium. RNAcentral's name for it is "bacterial SSU rRNA". It matches the Rfam family "Bacterial small subunit ribosomal RNA", at positions 331 to 792 of the family's 1533-position model. The record is from RNAcentral.
CCCGACUCCUACGGGAGGCAGCAGUGGGGAAUAUUGCACACUGGGGGAAACCCUGCUGCAGCGACGCCGCUUGAGCGAUUACGUCUUUCGGUAUGUCCCGCUCUAUCCGCCUUUAAGAAGAUGCCGGUACCUGACUCCUUCUCCCCGGCUCCCUCCGUGCCAGCCGCCUCGGUAAUACUUCUUGGGCGAGCUUUCUCCGGAUUCAUUGGGCUUAAAGCGCGCGUAGGCGGCCGCCUAAGCGGGACCUCUAACCCCGGGGCUCAACCCCGGGCCGGGUCCCGGACUGGGCGGCUCGAGUGCGGUAGAGGAGAGCGGAAUUCCCGGUGUAGCGGUGGAAUGCGCAGAGAGCGGGAAGAACACCGAUGGCGAAGGCAGCGCUCUGGGCCGUCACUGACGCUGAGGCGCGAAAGCUGGGGGAGCGAACAGGAUUAGAUACCCCUGUA